UAUCACCAAUCAAGCCUGGCUUGUCGUUGGACCGUCGUCGGUGAAACACCCGGCAGGCCCGAAAGGUAAUGACGGUGUCGUGUUCGACCCUAGAUACAACGAGCUUUCAUAGCACGUAUCGAAGUGGUCGGCCGGCCCGGUCUCAACUAUAUAUUUCUAAGGUUGACCUCGGAUCAGGUAGGAAUACCCGCUGAACUUAA
Molecule: unclassified non-coding RNA, 200 nt
Filed under: soil metagenome
Description: partial contains internal transcribed spacer 2 and large subunit ribosomal RNA
Source: RNAcentral